AGGUUAAGAUUGCUGUCGAUCGUGCUGGAGUCUUUCAGGGUCUUUUAAAAUAAGAUGUGGAUCUAAUACUUGUGGAUUUUUCAACUUUAUUUCCUUACGAAUUUUCACCCAUACGUUGUUGGUCUUUUAAACUCUACUAGUAUUGCUUGGCUAUCUUGGGUUUUUUGAGGGCUGUAAUUGACUUUAUAAAGGGGUUGGAAAAGAACACAUUUAAAUAGGGAUCUGGACAGUGGUAGUAAAUUUGUGUUUUCUCCCUUUCCCUCCCAUCGCAGUCAUUCAUACACGUGGACCUAACUGCGCCAAGAGCUUUUCCUAAGGAUAGUUGCUGAAAACGAAGUUUUCGCAAGUGGUAAAUGAAACAACCCUAUUGAGGUAAUACGGGAAGCAGCAACAAUUACCAAAGUGAUUUACCUGUAUUAAUAAUUUAGUGUCUAUGGCAUCUGUAUUUGUAUCCUAAUUUCACCAUUGAGGAAGUGAAAUCAGCAAAAUUUCUUUGCAAGAAGAAUAUAAAACUGAUCCAGUAACAGCAGGUCUAGUCUGCACACCAUCAUACUCAGCUCUGCCAGCAU
This is a long non-coding RNA of Myotis davidii, 569 nucleotides long. RefSeq lists it as uncharacterized. Lineage: Eukaryota; Metazoa; Chordata; Mammalia; Chiroptera; Vespertilionidae. The record is from RefSeq and is a predicted model, not a curated record. The transcript is spliced from 3 exons.